RNAcentral lists this ribosomal RNA (499 nucleotides) under uncultured bacterium. Its description in RNAcentral is "bacterial SSU rRNA". It matches the Rfam family "Bacterial small subunit ribosomal RNA", at positions 8 to 518 of the family's 1533-position model. The record is from RNAcentral.
AGGGUUCGAUUCUGGCUCAGGAUGAACGCUGGCGGCGUGCUUAACACAUGCAAGUCGAACGGAGUAUAUUUAAAGCUUGCUUUGUUAUACUUAGUGGCGGACGGGUGAGUAACGCGUGGGUAACCUGCCUUAUACCGGGGGACAACAGUUGGAAACGACUGCUAAUACCGCAUAAGCGCACAGUCUCGCAUGAGACAGUGUGAAAAACUCCGGUGGUAUAAGAUGGACCCGCGUCUGAUUAGCCAGUUGGCGGUGUAACGGACCACCAAAGCGACGAUCAGUAGCCGGCCUGAGAGGGUGAACGGCCACAUUGGGACUGAGACACGGCCCAAACUCCUACGGGAGGCAGCAGUGGGGAAUAUUGCACAAUGGAGGAAACUCUGAUGCAAGCGACGCCGCGUGAGUGAAGAAGUAUUUCGGUAUGUAAAGCUCUAUCAGCAGGAAAGAAAAUGACGGUACCUGACUAAGAAGCCCCGGCUAACUACGUGCCAGCAGCUGC